This is a long non-coding RNA of Taeniopygia guttata (zebra finch), 3929 nucleotides long. The record is from Ensembl. NCBI's taxonomy places the organism in Eukaryota, Metazoa, Chordata, Aves, Passeriformes, Estrildidae.
AAAAAAAGGUUCCUAUGAAAUUUCAAGUGAGUUUCUAGUCUAUUUUGUAUGGGAAUAUACUCAAUGAUAUCAGCCAUAAAUUAAAAAGAAAAAUACAGACAUUAUUAUAUUUUUUGAAAUAUGUACAUUAAAGCUUCUUCCCUUCUUUACUACUUUUCAUAAAGCAGUUUCAUCUCAUUACAUGCCUAAUAAGGAAGGACUAAUGUGAUGCCUUUCAGUAAUUCCUGCUCUUCUUUUUAUUUUUCCAAGAGAAUUUGACAGCACAUGUUCCUUCCUUGUGUGACUUGAUGACAGACUAGUCUAAUGAAGUGGAAAUGAAGAUCCUGUCCUUUUUGCCAAGACCUAACCCAAGGCCUUGAGUGAAGAAACCUGUUCAUACAAUGAUUCCUGAUGAGCAAGUAGGGACUGAAGGAUUUUAGGCCCAGAGAGCCUUGCAGAGAAAAUACUAUUUGCAAAUUAAUUCUGAUUCCCUAACAGCUUGAAAGGACAGAAAUGCAAGGAAAGUAGUUUGAAUUUUACCCGUGAAAAAAUACAUUUGCUACUUUUGUGUUAUAUGACAACACAGUAAUUAACACAUCUAAUUUAGGGAUGUAACUGGUCAUCAUCCAGCCAUGAAAUGGGUUUUCAGAAUUAAGAACUGUUUCAAAGGGCAACUUUUUUUGUUGGAAAAUGCUAACAAGUUGCUUGCACUAAAGGCAUUACUAAGAAUGCCACUGACUUUGAGAGAAUGAAUGCAGAAAUGCAGGCACCUCUAUAACAAAAAUAAUAUAACGUGCUGAUGAAUCACAUAUGCAGUACCUAGAUCUUAGUGUGAUUCUAGGUCAGUUCUCCUCAUUAGAAAUUGCAUCUCUACUCUUUCUAAACUUAGUACAAAAACCCCCAAAACAAGAUAACCUAAUGAAGACUUGAUUAGUGACUUGCUGAUCUCUCAAUUGUAGGGAACUUUUGUUAUAUCCAGUGGGGAAAAUACAAAAGAAAAAACAGAACAAAAUAAAAAUUAUGACAUUCCUUUAAAAAAAAACCCUAAAACCCAGACCCACAGCCCAAAAACUCCAACAUACUUAUAUUAACCUUAAGGCAUCAAUUAGUGGAAGACACAAGCAAAAUCUACUGCAAAUGUACCCCUAGCAAGGUUAGCUGGACCAGAAAGUUAAAACUUAAUGUGCAUAGCAGUAACUCAACAGAAAUACUCAGUGUUGGAUGCUGGUAUUGAAUGCCUUCACCAAAUCAAACUGAGCACACCAGACAGGUUGUAUAUUGGGAUUAUGGAGAAAACACAGCUGUGAAACUCCUUAAACUAAAAUCCAUGUUUUUUACUUCUUAAAAAUUUGAUAUCCAAUUGAACAUUGUAAGCAUCUUCUCCCUUUAGAAAGGCUUCACAAAACAUUUUCAAUAUCUAGUUUGUGAAUAAUCACAUCAGGGCACACAAAGAACAUUAUGAACUGUGCUGCAUCAUUCAAACUAUUUUCAUGUAACAUAAAACGUGUGAGCCAGGUGCUCAAAGAGUUAAGUCAAACAAAUUUAAAAUGUAUAAUAAAUGUGAGUUUCAAAGCACUCACAUCAGAAAAAAAUGGGCUUAACAAGAUUUAAACACAUUGGGUUUAGGGUCUAUGCAGCAGAGUGGUUUUAAGUUGAAGCUAUUUCCAAGUCAAAAUCACCUCCAUCUACAUUUAUUUCAGAAAAAGGAAAAUAUGUUUUGAUUACUUGUUUUAACUCCAGCUGUAACCCUAAGCAACACAUUUUCUGACUUGCUGAGAGGGCAGCUAUUUACAGGAAAGCAAGAGAUUUUGCUUCUUUAAUACAUGUUUUCAGUUUGUGAACAUUCAUGAAUUGUAUUUAUGCCCAUUUUAAACAAACUGCUUCAAAUCUUACAGAUUCAUGUAUGAAACAAGCAUUAAUGCAAGAGGAUUUCUACAAAGAGAACUCUGUAAAAGCAUACCAUUCACUUAAAACCAAAAUGUGUAAAUUGUAUAUCUGUCGACUCCUUUCUGGUGGAGUUCAUAAUAGAGCAUGGAUACAGGAAAAAGCAUAUGCAAAGUUUAAUAUACAAACAAAUGUAUUUUUCUUAAUGAUAGAUUUUAGUAGCUACUCAUUUCAGCCACACGUACAUUCUACUUGCUCAUCUGAUCCUGUAGUGAUUAUUUUCUGGGAUUUUACAUUUUGUCUUUGAACAAACUGAAAAAUUUCAAAGCCUGGGUGGCAACAAUAUCACACAACGUGGCACAAAGUUUAAAGUUUGUGAGCAAAUGAGUUCUAGCUCUGCAGUAGUACUAUAUAAUGGAUUACAGAAGAAAGGUUCAUUAGAUCUCUAUCAUGUGAAGACCUAAUAUUGAAUCAGUAAGCACCUAGCUGGGAAGCAAAAGCUAUACAGUAAUUAAUGUACUAUAGUAUGCAUGCAUUGAUUUUUACAUGGACUAUAUUUUAGCAGUAAUAAUGUCUGGCACCAGACUACAAAUCAAUAGGAGCCACUAUUGUGCUGUUGGUUAAAAAAAAAAAAAAAUAAGGAUAGCAACCUUUUGUUUAACUGGCAUAAUCAGAGUUCCACACCUCAAUUUUCCUAUUGUAGUACCUGACAUUUUUUAAAAUAAGAUUUUCAUCCCAAAUUUAUUUGAAAUACAUACAAAUACACAGUCUUUGUACUCAUUCUGAUCUUUUCAUAAGCAAUACAAUGUCAAAUUAAGAAAAAAAAGCAAAAUAUAAACAACAAAUGGAAAAAGAGACUAAGUACCCUUCACGUGAAUAUUCCUAGAGAUUUGUGUUUGCUAUCACAGUUCAAACACCAUGUUAUGCUUUGCUUCCCUUCACUGUUUUCUCUUAGAAUUCUUAGCAAGUUUCAGACUAAUACAUGAACACAAGGUGGGAAAGAAACCGCACGGGUUUUCUGAAAAGGUGAUAUUAAGAGUCUAUUAAGAAUCAAAGAAAAAAAGAAAAAUUAACUCUGAAAGUUCAGCAUUCUUGGAAGAUCUCAAGGGAACAGGGUGUGUAGCAUCAGAGCCCAGAUUCCAUCUUCACUAACUGGUGUAGACCCAUCACAUUGCACAAGGGAUUUUCCAAUCCACAAUAUAAAGGAAUAAGUUAAGGACCAGCUCCAAAAAACAGCUUUACUAGAGAAGUUGGCAGGCAAGUGAUUCAGGAUGGAGGCUACAGGAGCCAAACAAGAAAGGCCUUGUGUGUCUGGACCUGGGCAGUCAUUUCAUGAGCUUUCUUUCACAGACUUAAAAAAGAAAAAAAAUCAGUUUGUAAGCUGUAACUUGACAGAACCCCACGAAAAUGACAGAUGGAAAGAAAAUCUUACUUUAGUGAGAGUUUUAAGGCGUAUAGAAAUCCAAGGACAAUUAUGGUACACGUGAAGGUUAUCUUGCCCUCCGUAAGAAGUUCUUUUAUUUAGGACUUGAAGUCAGAACAACCUUCAGAACAGUAUAGCCAAUAUUACAGCAUGCUAAAAAUUAUCAUGGCAGACAAAAGAAUACUCAAUUAAGAUUCACAUUACUGAUAACACAGCUCAUUUUUAAAAGGAAAGCCUAAUAAAAGAAAAAUAAUAUUAAUUUAAGGAGAAAAAAAAAAAGUCUAUGUAAUGUUUCUUUCUCCCUAGCACCUAUAGUUCUUUUACUUCCAAGGCAAUACCAAUCCUGCUUCCACUGCCUUUUUCUAGUAGCAGUUUACAGCCAAGAAAGGUUAGCAUGGGUAACUUCAAAUUCAUUGUCAUUAGCACACAGAAUGUAGCUGAUGGAAGUGAUGUAUUUUCCAUUUUUUAUCCUGUGGUUAGCAUUUCAGUAUUUUUAAAAUAAACAAAAUAAACGGGAUUAUUAUAUGUGUUUAUAGUAUGAGGAAAAUAAUGUAAUAAUUAAAUUAGCAUAAUAACCUUGAAGAGAAAGCAUGCAUGCAACCUCUGUAAAGGUUGCUGCUAAUCCACAGGAGAAAAAGCAUUA